CGGGAUAUGGUGUAAGGGUAGCGUACCGGCGUUGGAGACCGGAAGACAUGGUUCGAGUCCAUGUAUCCCGAC
Molecule: transfer RNA, 72 nt
Filed under: Mycobacterium phage GardenSalsa
Lineage: Duplodnaviria; Heunggongvirae; Uroviricota; Caudoviricetes; Vilmaviridae
Description: tRNA-Pro
Rfam family: tRNA
About the family: Transfer RNA (tRNA) molecules are approximately 80 nucleotides in length. Their secondary structure includes four short double-helical elements and three loops (D, anti-codon, and T loops). Further hydrogen bonds mediate the characteristic L-shaped molecular structure. tRNAs have two regions of fundamental functional importance: the anti-codon, which is responsible for specific mRNA codon recognition, and the 3' end, to which the tRNAs corresponding amino acid is attached (by aminoacyl-tRNA synthetases). tRNAs cope with the degeneracy of the genetic code in two manners: having more than one tRNA (with a specific anti-codon) for a particular amino acid; and 'wobble' base-pairing, i.e. permitting non-standard base-pairing at the 3rd anti-codon position.
Source: RNAcentral